RNAcentral lists this ribosomal RNA (984 nucleotides) under Parastagonospora italica. RNAcentral describes it as "SSU rRNA". It matches the Rfam family "Eukaryotic small subunit ribosomal RNA", at positions 71 to 1065 of the family's 1831-position model. The record is from RNAcentral. Lineage: Eukaryota; Fungi; Ascomycota; Dothideomycetes; Pleosporales; Phaeosphaeriaceae.
GCAUUAUACCGUGAAACUGCGAAUGGCUCAUUAAAUCAGUUAUCGUUUAUUUGAUAGUACCUUACUACUUGGAUAACCGUGGUAAUUCUAGAGCUAAUACAUGCUGAAAACCUCAACUUCGGGAGGGGUGUAUUUAUUAGAUAAAAAACCAACGCCCUUCGGGGCUUCUUGGUGAUUCAUGAUAACUUUACGGAUCGCAUGGCCUUGCGCCGGCGACGGUUCAUUCAAAUUUCUGCCCUAUCAACUUUCGAUGGUAAGGUAUUGGCUUACCAUGGUUUCAACGGGUAACGGGGAAUUAGGGUUCGAUUCCGGAGAGGGAGCCUGAGAAACGGCUACCACAUCCAAGGAAGGCAGCAGGCGCGCAAAUUACCCAAUCCCGACACGGGGAGGUAGUGACAAUAAAUACUGAUACAGGGCUCUUUUGGGUCUUGUAAUUGGAAUGAGUACAAUUUAAACCUCUUAACGAGGAACAAUUGGAGGGCAAGUCUGGUGCCAGCAGCCGCGGUAAUUCCAGCUCCAAUAGCGUAUAUUAAAGUUGUUGCAGUUAAAAAGCUCGUAGUUGAACCUUGGGUCUGGCUGGCAGGUCCGCCUCACCGCGUGUACUUGUCCGGCCGGGCCUUCCUUCUGGAGAACCUCAUGCCCUUCACUGGGCGUGUUGGGGACCAGGACUUUUACUUUGAAAAAAUUAGAGUGUUCAAAGCAGGCCUUUGCUCGAAUACGUUAGCAUGGAAUAAUAGAAUAGGACGUGCGGUCCUAUUUUGUUGGUUUCUAGGACCGCCGUAAUGAUUAAUAGGGACAGUCGGGGGCAUCAGUAUUCAAUUGUCAGAGGUGAAAUUCUUGGAUUUAUUGAAGACUAACUACUGCGAAAGCAUUUGCCAAGGAUGUUUUCAUUAAUCAGUGAACGAAAGUUAGGGGAUCGAAGACGAUCAGAUACCGUCGUAGUCUUAACCGUAAACUAUGCCGACUAGGGAUCGGGCGAUGUUC